AGGGCGCAUGGCGGAUGCCUUGGCUCUCGGAGGCGAUGAAGGACGUGAUAAGCUGCGAUAAGCUUUGGGGAGGUGCAAAUGACCUUUGAUCCAGAGAUUUCCGAAUGGGACAACCCAAUAUCUUGAAGAGGUAUUAUCCAACGUUGUUGGAGGCUAACGCAGGGAACUGAAACAUCUUAGUACCUGCAGGAAAAGAAAAUAAACAAUGAUUCCCCCAGUAGUGGCGAGCGAACGGGGAACAGCCCAAACCAUCCAUGUUACGGCAUGGGUGGGGUUGUAGGACUACGCCGUUGCAUGAAGACAUCAGAGAAGAACUUUCUGGAAAGAAAGACCAUAGAGCAUGACAGUUGCGUAUUCGAAUGUUGUCGAAGCAUAGUAGUAUCCUGAGUAGCGCGGAGCACGAGGAAUUCUGCGUGAAUCUGCCGGGACCAUCCGGUAAGGCUAAAUACUCCCGAGAGACCGAUAGCGAACCAGUACCGUGAGGGAAAGGUGAAAAGCACUUCGAACAGAAGAGUGAAAUAGUUCCUGAAACCGUGCGCCUACAAGCGGUCGGAGCUCGUUAAUGAGUGACGGCGUGCCUUUUGCAUAAUGAACCUACGAGUUGCCUUUGCCGGCAAGGUUAAGUGUGACGACACACGUAUCCGAAGCGAAAGCGAGUCUGAACAGGGCGUAUAGUCGGCAGUGGCAGACGCGAAACCAAGUGAUCUACCCUUGGCCAGGUUGAAGGCUGGGUAACACCAGCUGGAGGACCGCACCAAUAAGCGUUGAAAAGCUUCUGGAUGAGCUGAGGGUAGGGGUGAAAGGCUAAUCAAACUUGGAGAUAGCUCGUACUCCCCGAAAUGCAUUUAGGUGCAGCCUUGCGGGUUACUGAUGUGAGGUAGAGCGACUGAUAAGAUGCGAGGGCUUCACCGCCUAUCAAGUCUUGACAAACUCCGAAUGCGCAUCAGUUCUACCGCAGGAGUGAGGGCAUGGGUGCUAAGGUCCGUGCCCGAGAGGAGAAGAAUCCGGACCACCUGCUAAGGUCCCGAAAUGACAGCUAAGUUAAACUAACGAAGUCUGACUGCUAAGACAGCUAGGAUGUUGGCUUGGAAGCAGCCAUUCAUUUAAAGAGUGCGUAACAGCUCACUAGUCGAGGAGUCGGGCGUGGAUAAUAAUCGGGUAUCAAGUUGUCUACCGAAGCAGUGGGAUCAUUUAUAUGAUCGGUAGGGGAGCAUUCCAGUCAGCGUCGAAGGCGUACCGUGAGGUAUUCUGGAGCGUCUGGAAAAGCAAAUGUAGGUAUAAGUAACGAUAAAGGGGGCGGGAAACCCCCUCGCCGAAAGACUAAGGUUUCCUGAUCAACGCUAAUCGGAUCAGGGUCAGUCGGGUCCUAAGGCUCAGCCGAACGGCGAUGCCGAUGGCAGAAACGGUUAAUAUUCCGUUACUACCUUCAGGAGUGACGUGGAGACGCAGUAGUGACAGUGCCGCCAUCUGACGGAAUAGAUGGUUGAAGGGUGUAGGAGUCGAUCAUGGCAGGCAAAUCCACCAUGAGAUCCGAACCUGAUAGUAUGCCGCGUCCUUCGGGACAAGGCAAUAGUGCGCGUAAGCAUGCUGCCGAGAAAAUCCGCUAAACUUAAUCCUGCAGGUACCCGUACCGCAAACGGACACACGUAGUCGGGAUGAAUAUUCUAAGGCGCUUGAGUGAUUCACGGUUAAGGAACUAGGCAAACUGACCCUGUAACUUCGGGAUAAAGGGUCCCUACCCUUUUAUGGGAGGGCGCAGAGAAUCGGUCCAGGCAACUGUUUAACAAAAACACAGGGCUGUGCCAAAUCGAAAGAUCCAGUAUACAGCCUGACACCUGCCCGGUGCUGGAAGGUUAAGAGGAGAUGUCAUCGAUAAGAGAAGCGUUGAAUUGAAGCCCCAGUAAACGGCGGCCGUAACUAUAACGGUCCUAAGGUAGCGAAAUUCCUUGUCGGGUAAGUUCCGACCUGCACGAAUGGUGUAAUGAUCCGGACGCUGUCUCAACCAUGAGCUCAGUGAAAUUGUAGUAUCGGUGAAGAUGCCGAUUACCCGCGAUGGGACGAAAAGACCCCGUGAACCUUUACUAUAGCUUAUCAUUGAAUCUGGGCACGUGAUGUGUAGGAUAGGUCGGAGGCUUUGAAGCAGGUACGCCAGUAUUUGUGGAGCCGCUGUUGAAAUACGACCCUUUAUUUGUUUGGAUUCUAACCCGUGGAUACGGGGACAUUGAUUGGUGGGUAGUUUGACUGGGGUGGUCGCCUCCAAAAGCGUAACGGAGGCUUCUAAAGGUGCCCUCCGGCCGAUUGGUAACCGGCCUUAGAGUGUAAUGGCAUAAGGGCGCUUGACUGGGAGACUGACAAGUCGAUCAGGUAGGAAACUAGAGCAUAGUGAUCCGGUGUUUCCGUAUGGAAGGGACAUCGCUCAAAGGAUAAAAGGUACUCCGGGGAUAACAGGCUGAUCCCUCCCAAGAGCUCAUAUCGACGGAGUGGUUUGGCACCUCGAUGUCGGCUCGUCACAUCCUGGGGCUGGAGAAGGUCCCAAGGGUUGGGCUGUUCGCCCAUUAAAGUGGCACGCGAGCUGGGUUCAGAACGUCGUGAGACAGUUCGGUCUCUAUCUAUCGUGGGCGUAUGAAAUUUGCGUGGCUCUGACACUAGUACGAGAGGACCGUGUUGGACAGACCUCUGGUUUGCCGGUUGUGCCGCCAGGUGCAUUGCCGGGUAUCUAAGUCUGGAUCGGAUAAGUGCUGAAAGCAUCUAAGUACGAAGCCGGCCACAAGAUUAGAUUUCUCAGGGUCGUUGU
This 2794-nucleotide ribosomal RNA is filed under the name human gut metagenome. Its description in RNAcentral is "bacterial LSU rRNA". It matches the Rfam family "Bacterial large subunit ribosomal RNA". The record is from RNAcentral.